AACUUUCGACAACGGAUCACUUGGUUCUCGCAUCGAUGAAGAACGCAGCGAAAUGCGAUAAGUAAUGUGAAUUGCAGAAUUCAGUGAAUCAUCGAAUCUUUGAACGCAACUUGCGCUCCUUGGUACUCUGAGGAGCAUGCCUGUUUGAGUGUCAUUAAACUUCUUCUCAACCCAUCCAGUUUCUCUGUGUGUGGGCUUUGGAAAAUUGGGGGCUUGCUGGUUAACUAUUUGUCCAGCUCUCCUGAAAGCAUUAGCGGCAUCUGGGCUGCUUGCAGGUGUGAUAACUUGUCUACACCUUUGCAGUGGCUGCAUUUGUGCUGCUUUAGAGGGCAUUGAUGAAAUUUGACCUCAAAUCAGGUAGGACUACCCGCUGAACUUAAGCAUAUCAAUAAGCGGAGGCU
This 401-nucleotide unclassified non-coding RNA is filed under the name uncultured Inocybe. Its description in RNAcentral is "sequence contains ITS2". The stretch from base 1 to 154 matches the Rfam family "5.8S ribosomal RNA". The record is from RNAcentral. Lineage: Eukaryota; Fungi; Basidiomycota; Agaricomycetes; Agaricales; Cortinariaceae.